GGCAAUUAUGGUAAUUUUUACCCUUUUUUUAUUUUUUAUAUAUAAGGAUAAUUUCAUUGAUAAGAGCUAUUAUAAGGAAGGCCUAGGAGCCAUUACAAAGAGGCAUUUCACACAGCAACUAAAGGAAGCAUGAAACUCAAAGCCCAACCCAAAAACAUAAUCCAAGCCCACCAAAAGAGAAAUCCUAUAUCUGGGAACCGCACGCUUGGGGACCAGCGCCUUGAGAACACCAUCGAGCAACAAAUUGUGCAUUAAGUUAGACCUCUAACCAGGUUGAAAAGAUCACAAAGAUACUCAGGAGAGAAGCUCUGUAUGAGCUAGUAUAGCUUCCUAAACUUCUCUCCUCAGAAAUGCAGACCUAGCUGAAAAUAGAACCUCAUAUUCAAAAUCAGAGCUCUCAACCAUGCUGGGGUUCUACUCAAGGGAUAGGAAAAUUGAGGAGGAGAGAUAGAGCUCACAUGGCCUCUCAAUCUCUUUUAUAGCCGGAGGGAGUAGUCAGCCAUUCGAGCCCGACACUUGAAGCCCUCGAGAUACCCUUUUCUCCCAUGACGCUGUAGCUGAAGCAUAAUCCCCCAAUCAGAACCGCUAGAGCAAAGCCUCCACAACUACUAGCAAACAUAUUCGCACCAAAAAGCAAACAACCGAACCAAAUGGCAGCCUAAAGAUAUCCCUCCCGAAAGUGGGGAUGGAAGAACUCAUUUUCUGGUCAAGGACAAAAAGUCUUAUCCUGUUCAGAUGGGGCAGGGUAAGCCGCUGACCUUCAAAACACAGAGGACUUAGCCUCUGGGAAGGACCAAAAUGAGAGAAAAUUC
Molecule: unclassified non-coding RNA, 812 nt
Filed under: Hevea brasiliensis (rubber tree)
Lineage: Eukaryota; Viridiplantae; Streptophyta; Magnoliopsida; Malpighiales; Euphorbiaceae
Source: RNAcentral